UACGUAGGGUGCGAGCGUUGUCCGGAAUUAUUGGGCGUAAAGGGCUCGUAGGCGGUUUGUCGCGUCGGGAGUGAAAUCCACUGGCUUAACUGGUGGCUUGCUUUCGAUACGGGCAGACUGGAGGUAGGUAGGGGAGAAUGGAAUUCCCGGUGUAGCGGUGAAAUGCGCAGAUAUCGGGAGGAACACCGGUGGCGAAGGCGAGUCCCUGGACAACACCUGACACUGAGGCACGAAAGCUAGGGGAGCAAACAGG
This 253-nucleotide ribosomal RNA is filed under the name uncultured bacterium. Its description in RNAcentral is "partial 16S ribosomal RNA". It matches the Rfam family "Bacterial small subunit ribosomal RNA", at positions 524 to 776 of the family's 1533-position model. The record is from RNAcentral.